GACGAACGCUGGCGGCGUGCUUAACACAUGCAAGUCGAACGGACCUGUUUUUGAAGCGCUUCGGCGUGGAUGGGACGGGGCAGUGGCGCACGGGUGAGUAAUGCGCGAGGACCUGCCCGCGGGAGGGGGACAGCAGUUGGAAACGGCUGGUGAUACCCCGUAGGCCGGGAGGUAAAAGGGCGGAGACGCCCGCCUGCGGAUGGACUCGCGUCCUAUCAGCUAGUUGGUGAGGCAACGGCUCACCAAGGCGACGACGGGUAGCCGGCCUGAGAGGGUAACCGGCCACACUGGAACUGAGACACGGUCCAGACUCCUACGGGAGGCAGCAGUGGGGAAUUUUGGGCAAUGGGGGAGACCCUGACCCAGCGACGCCGCGUGAGGGACGAAGGCCCUUGGGUCGUAAACCUCUUUUGCAGGGGAAGAAGUAGAUGACGGUACCUUGCGAAUAAGUCCCGGCUAACUACGUG
RNAcentral lists this ribosomal RNA (467 nucleotides) under uncultured bacterium. RNAcentral's name for it is "bacterial SSU rRNA". It matches the Rfam family "Bacterial small subunit ribosomal RNA", at positions 28 to 507 of the family's 1533-position model. The record is from RNAcentral.